Molecule: unclassified non-coding RNA, 293 nt
Filed under: uncultured fungus
Lineage: Eukaryota; Fungi
Description: sequence contains ITS1
Source: RNAcentral
UGGACUACUGGGGUUUCUAAUCCUGUUUGAUCCCCACGCUUUCGUGCAUCAGCGUCAAUCACGACUUAGUAAGCUGCCUUCGCAAUCGGAGUUCUGAGACAUAUCUAUGCAUUUCACCGCUACUUGUCUCAUUCCGCCUACCUCAUCCGCAUUCAAGCACACCAGUAUCAAAGGCACGCCGACAGUUAAGCUGCCGAAUUUCACCCCUGACUUAGCAUGCCGCCUACGCACCCUUUAAACCCAAUAAAUCCGGAUAACGCUCGGAUCCUCCGUAUUACCGCGGCGGCUGGCAC